Small nuclear RNA from Manis javanica (Malayan pangolin), 107 nucleotides. Lineage: Eukaryota; Metazoa; Chordata; Mammalia; Pholidota; Manidae. The record is from RefSeq and is a predicted model, not a curated record.
GUGCCCGCUUCGGCAGCUCACAUACUAAAAUUGGAACGAUACAGAGAAGAUUGGCAUGGGCCCUGCACGAAGAUGCCACACAAAUUCAUGAAGCGUUCUAUAAGGAG